This is a non-coding RNA of Arachis ipaensis, 873 nucleotides long. The record is from RefSeq and is a predicted model, not a curated record. Lineage: Eukaryota; Viridiplantae; Streptophyta; Magnoliopsida; Fabales; Fabaceae.
CCAACCCCCCCCUUCCCCCAAUUAUUCAUUCAUUUCAUUUCACUACUCACUCCCUGGAGAACUCUGAAGCAAAGGAACCCUAGCCCUCCAUCAUCGCCACCGUUUCCAGUUCCUCAGCACCGCCACCGUCUCCAAUUCCUCAGCACCGCCGCUUCUUCCUCUUCCCCGUGUCCGGAACCCAGUAAGUCGACAGGUCCUCUUCGGCUCUUCAUCUUAACUCACCAAACCAAAACCCUAGGCUUUCUCUGUAUUUUGCAAUGGUUCUUCCGCAGUGCUGCUGCCAUCCGUGCUGUCGGCGCCGUCCGUGGCCUGGCCCUCUCUUGUAGCUCGGCGUCCUGCUUUCCCGUCAUCCGUCCGACCUCCGUGGCUUCUCUGUUUUGUUGGCUUGAAGCAACUUGAUGCCGUAUCGCCGCUCGCCGUCGUCUCCCCGGUAGCCGUCGUCUCCCUGGUCACCGUCUGUGCCUCCAUCGAAGUUUUCAUUUUGUAGGAAAUUAUUUGACGUAUAUAAGAAUUAAGAAGGAAGAUUAUCUCAACAGCUACUCUGUUGAUUGAUUCUAGUCCCCCACAAGCUUGAAGAGAGGAACCCUUCGUCAUUGGUUUGUUUAUGGCAUUGCAUUAAAAUAUUAUUGUAGUUUGUUUGUUUAUUCAUUGAACUUCCACAAAAUCAGUUGUUUAUGAUCCCCUUUUGUCCAGAGUAAACAAUUCUUGAGUCCUUGCUUAGCUUUAUGUCAGGUGGAUUAUGUGCUGUUAAGUUGUACAAGCAUAAGAUUUCUCCUUGAAUAUAGUAUAUGCAGUCUAAUUUUGAAUUGGUAUAAUUAUACCACAAAGCUAUAAUUAUACCACAAAGCUAUACCAAAGGAACUGGAUUGGUAG